RNAcentral lists this long non-coding RNA (296 nucleotides) under Ananas comosus (pineapple). RNAcentral's name for it is "long non-coding RNA (ACOM_LNC033008)". Lineage: Eukaryota; Viridiplantae; Streptophyta; Magnoliopsida; Poales; Bromeliaceae. The record is from RNAcentral.
ACUAAAUGUUAUGAACUAUAGUAGAUUAUAUCGGAUUGAUAGCGCUAAUUAUUAAUACCAAAAGUUUGAGCGGUUAGAAAUACACAAAUAGUUUAUUUAAAGUAUACAGACACAGCGUCUACAGAUCUCGAUUGUAACUCAACCCAAUCAACCUCACACCACUUCAAAUAUGACUGAACCCAACAUGACCUCAUGCUACAUCGAAAAGUGACUUAGCUCAACUUGACCUUCUGUCACAAGAUAGGAUGCUGGUCUCUUUAAGCCAGCAGAUUAGACCCUCUUGUAGUGUCAUCUCC